CAUGCAAGUCGAACGAUGAACCUCGCUUGCGGGGGGAUUAGUGGCGAACGGGUGAGUAACACGUGAGUAACCUGCCCUUAACUCUGGGAUAAGCCUUGGAAACGAGGUCUAAUACUGGAUAUUGACUUUACCUCGCAUGGGGUUUUGUUGAAAGAUUUAUUGGUUUUGGAUGGACUCGCGGCCUAUCAGCUUGUUGGUGAGGUAAUGGCUCACCAAGGCGACGACGGGUAGCCGGCCUGAGAGGGUGACCGGCCACACUGGGACUGAGACACGGCCCAGACUCCUACGGGAGGCAGCAGUGGGGAAUAUUGCACAAUGGGCGAAAGCCUGAUGCAGCGACGCCGCGUGAGGGAUGACGGCCUUCGGGUUGUAAACCUCUUUCAGUAGGGAACAAGGCCAGCAUUUUUGUUGGUUGAGGGUACUUGCAGAAGAAGCGCCGGCUAACUACGUGCCAGCAGCCGCGGUAAUACGUAGGGCGCAAGCGUUAUCCGGAAUUAUUGGGCGUAAAGAGCUCGUAGGCGGUUUGUCGCGUCUGCCGUGAAAGUCCGGGGCUCAACCCCGGAUCUGCGGUGGGUACGGGCAGACUAGAGUGAUGUAGGGGAGACUGGAAUUCCUGGUGUAGCGGUGAAAUGCGCAGAUAUCAGGAGGAACACCGAUGGCGAAGGCAGGUCUCUGGGCAUUAACUGACGCUGAGGAGCGAAAGCAUGGGGAGCGAACAGGAUUAGAUACCCUGGUAGUCCAUGCCGUAAACGUUGGGCACUAGGUGUGGGGGACAUUCCACGUUUUCCGCGCCGUAGCUAACGCAUUAAGUGCCCCGCCUGGGGAGUACGGCCGCAAGGCUAAAACUCAAAGGAAUUGACGGGGGCCCGCACAAGCGGCGGAGCAUGCGGAUUAAUUCGAUGCAACGCGAAGAACCUUACCAAGGCUUGACAUGAACCGGAAAUACCUGGAAACAGGUGCCCCGCUUGCGGUCGGUUUACAGGUGGUGCAUGGUUGUCGUCAGCUCGUGUCGUGAGAUGUUGGGUUAAGUCCCGCAACGAGCGCAACCCUCGUUCUAUGUUGCCAGCACGUUAUGGUGGGGACUCAUAGGAGACUGCCGGGGUCAACUCGGAGGAAGGUGAGGAC
This 1125-nucleotide ribosomal RNA is filed under the name Arthrobacter psychrochitiniphilus. RNAcentral's name for it is "bacterial SSU rRNA". It matches the Rfam family "Bacterial small subunit ribosomal RNA", at positions 54 to 1180 of the family's 1533-position model. The record is from RNAcentral. Lineage: Bacteria; Bacillati; Actinomycetota; Actinomycetes; Micrococcales; Micrococcaceae.